CCCUUAGAUGUUCUGGGCAGCACGCGCGCUACAAUGGUCUUCGCAAACGGAUGCAUUCUCGAAGGAGAAUGCCAAUCUUGGAAUCUAUGCCUUGGUCGGGACAGUUGCUUGCAAUUUUUCGACUCGAACCAGGAAUUCCUUGUAAUCGUGAUUCAUCACAUCACGAUGAAUACGUCCAUGCCCUUUGUACACACCGCCCGUCGCUCCUACCGAUCGAAGAGUUAGGUGAAUUGUUUUGAUCGAUAAGAUUUGACUAUGGUCAACUCUCGUUGUGAAAUUCUGUGAAUCUGACUGUUUAGAGGAAGGAAAAGUCGUAACA
RNAcentral lists this ribosomal RNA (319 nucleotides) under uncultured eukaryote. RNAcentral's name for it is "partial 18S ribosomal RNA". It matches the Rfam family "Eukaryotic small subunit ribosomal RNA", at positions 1470 to 1796 of the family's 1831-position model. The record is from RNAcentral.